ACUCCUACGGGAGGCAGCAGUGGGGAAUAUUGGACAAUGGGCGCAAGCCUGAUCCAGCCAUGCCGCGUGAGUGAUGAAGGCCUUAGGGUUGUAAAGCUCUUUCGACCCGGACGAAUGACCCGCAAGGGUUUGAAAUAAGCGGGUAUAUGAAGCUGGCCAGCACACUACGUGCCAGCAGCCGCGGUAAU
Molecule: ribosomal RNA, 188 nt
Filed under: uncultured bacterium
Lineage: Bacteria
Description: partial 16S ribosomal RNA
Rfam family: Bacterial small subunit ribosomal RNA
Source: RNAcentral